RNAcentral lists this ribosomal RNA (430 nucleotides) under Pseudomonadota bacterium. RNAcentral's name for it is "Proteobacteria bacterium partial 16S ribosomal RNA". It matches the Rfam family "Bacterial small subunit ribosomal RNA", at positions 355 to 776 of the family's 1533-position model. Lineage: Bacteria; Pseudomonadati; Pseudomonadota. The record is from RNAcentral.
UGGGGAAUAUUGGACAAUGGGGGGAACCCUGAUCCAGCCAUGCCGCGUGUGUGAAGAAGGCCUUAUGGUUGUAAAGCACUUUAAGCGAGGAGGAGGGUACUGGUAAUAAUACUACCAGGUACUGGACGUUACUCGCAGAAUAAGCACCGGCUAACUCUGUGCCAGCAGCCGCGGUAAUACAGAGGGUGCGAGCGUUAAUCGGAUUUACUGGGCGUAAAGCGUGCGUAGGCGGCUAAUUGAGUCGGAUGUGAAAUCCCCGAGCUUAACUUGGGAAUUGCAUUCGAUACUGGUUAGCUAGAGUGUGGGAGAGGAUGGUAGAAUUCCAGGUGUAGCGGUGAAAUGCGUAGAGAUCUGGAGGAAUACCGAUGGCGAAGGCAGCCAUCUGGCCUAACACUGACGCUGAGGUACGAAAGCAUGGGGAGCAAACAGG